AGAGUUUGAUCAUGGCUCAGAGCGAACGCUGGCGGCAGGCCUAACACAUGCAAGUCGAGCGCCCCGCAAGGGGAGCGGCAGACGGGAGAGUAACACGUGGGAACGUACCCUUCAGUUCGGAACAACCCAGGGAAACUUGGGCUAAUACCGGAUACGUCCGUAAGGAGAAAGAUUUAUCGCUGAAGGAUCGGCCCGCGUCUGAUUAGCUAGUUGGUGAGGUAACGGCUCACCAAGGCGACGAUCAGUAGCUGGUCUGAGAGGAUGAUCAGCCUCACUGGGACUGAGACACGGCCCAGACUCCUACGGGAGGCAGCAGUGGGGAAUAUUGGACAAUGGGCGCAAGCCUGAUCCAGCCAUGCCGCGUGGAUGAUGAAGGCCCUAGGGUUGUAAAGUCCUUUCGGCGGGGAAGAUAAUGACGGUACCCGCAGAAGAGCCC
RNAcentral lists this ribosomal RNA (436 nucleotides) under uncultured Rhodoplanes sp. RNAcentral describes it as "bacterial SSU rRNA". It matches the Rfam family "Bacterial small subunit ribosomal RNA", at positions 8 to 492 of the family's 1533-position model. Lineage: Bacteria; Pseudomonadati; Pseudomonadota; Alphaproteobacteria; Hyphomicrobiales; Nitrobacteraceae. The record is from RNAcentral.